Molecule: ribosomal RNA, 183 nt
Filed under: Pelobates cultripes (western spadefoot toad)
Lineage: Eukaryota; Metazoa; Chordata; Amphibia; Anura; Pelobatidae
Description: SSU_rRNA_eukarya
Rfam family: Eukaryotic small subunit ribosomal RNA
Source: RNAcentral
CAUGCUAGAGCACUUUUUCAAUGUGCUCCCCAACGACAAAGAGAUGACGCAUUCGUAUGUCAAUCCAUAUCAACUUUCGAUGCCAUUUACUGCACCUACCAUGAUGACCACCGGUAACGGGGAAUCAGGGUUCGAUUCCAUACAGGGAUCCUGACAAACAGCUACCACAUGCAAGGAAGGCAG